CCCUUAGAUGUCCGGGGCCGCACGCGCGCUACACUGAAGGAAUCAGCGUGGCUUUCUCCCUGACCCGAAAGGGUUGGGAAACCCGUUGAAUCUCCUUCGUGAUAGGGAUUGGGGCUUGAAAUUGUUCCCCAUGAACGAGGAAUUCCCAGUAAGCGCGAGUCAUAAGCUCGCGUUGAUUACGUCCCUGCCCUUUGUACACACCGCCCGUCGCACCUACCGAUUGAAUGUUUCGGUGAAGAUUCCGGAUAGGACUUUUUUGAUUUAUUUCAAUUUUGUCUUAAAAGCUAUCUAAACCUCAACAUUUAGAGGAAGGUGAAGUCGUAACA
Molecule: ribosomal RNA, 326 nt
Filed under: uncultured eukaryote
Lineage: Eukaryota
Description: partial 18S ribosomal RNA
Rfam family: Eukaryotic small subunit ribosomal RNA
Source: RNAcentral